AAGAUAUUACCUCCGUUCCAAUUAGUUGUCUUUGAUUUGUCUUGAUAUGGAUUUACCUAACACUAAAAUAUGUCUAAAUACAUCUGUAUCUAGACAAAUCUAAGACAACUAAUUCAGGAUGGAGGUAGUAUUAU
Molecule: non-coding RNA, 134 nt
Organism: Hordeum vulgare subsp. vulgare (domesticated barley)
Lineage: Eukaryota; Viridiplantae; Streptophyta; Magnoliopsida; Poales; Poaceae
Source: Rfam